This 552-nucleotide ribosomal RNA is filed under the name uncultured Geobacteraceae bacterium. Its description in RNAcentral is "bacterial SSU rRNA". It matches the Rfam family "Bacterial small subunit ribosomal RNA", at positions 9 to 538 of the family's 1533-position model. The record is from RNAcentral. Lineage: Bacteria; Pseudomonadati; Thermodesulfobacteriota; Desulfuromonadia; Geobacterales; Geobacteraceae.
GAGUUUGAUCCUGGCUCAGAACGAACGCUGGCGGCGUGCUUAACACAUGCAAGUCGAACGUGAUUCAGAGCUUGCUCUGAUGAAAGUGGCGCACGGGUGAGUAACGCGUGGAUAACCUGCCCUGGUAUCUGGGAUAACAUCUCGAAAGGGGUGCUAAUACCGGAUAAGCCCACGGGAUCUUCGGAUUCUGCGGGAAAAGAAGGCCUCUAUUUAUAAGCUUUCGUAUCAGGAUGGGUCCGCGUACCAUUAGCUAGUUGGUGGGGUAAUGGCCUACCAAGGCGACGAUGGUUAGCUGGUCUGAGAGGAUGAUCAGCCACACUGGAACUGAGACACGGUCCAGACUCCUACGGGAGGCAGCAGUGGGGAAUUUUGCGCAAUGGGGGAAACCCUGACGCAGCAACGCCGCGUGAGUGAUGAAGGCUUUCGGGUCGUAAAGCUCUGUCAGAGGGGAAGAAAUGAGAUUGGCUAAUAUCCAAUUUUCUUGACGGUACCCUCAAAGGAAGCACCGGCUAACUCCGCGCCAGCAGCCGCGGUAAUACAAGGGCSMMYURM